UACGGGGGGGGCAAGCGUUGUUCGGAAUUACUGGGCGUAAAGGGCUCGUAGGUGGCCAACUAAGUCAGACGUGAAAUCCCCAGGCUCAACCUGGGAACUGCGUCUGAUACUGGAUGGCUUGAAUUCGGGAGAGGGAUGCAGAAUUCCAGGUGUAGCGGUGAAAUGCGUAGAUAUCUGGAGGAACACCGGUGGCGAAGGCGGCAUCCUGGACCGGUAUUGACGCUGAGGCGCGAAAGCUAGGGGAGCAAACGGG
This 253-nucleotide ribosomal RNA is filed under the name uncultured bacterium. Its description in RNAcentral is "partial 16S ribosomal RNA". It matches the Rfam family "Bacterial small subunit ribosomal RNA", at positions 524 to 776 of the family's 1533-position model. The record is from RNAcentral.